GACGAACGCUGGCGGCGUGCCUAAUACAUGCAAGUAGAACGCUGAAGGAGGAGCUUGCUUCUCUGGAUGAGUUGCGAACGGGUGAGUAACGCGUAGGUAACCUGCCUGGUAGUGGGGGAUAACUAUUGGAAACGAUAGCUAAUACCGCAUAAUAGCAGUUGUUGCAUGAUAACUGUUUGAAAGGUGCAAUUGCACCGCUACCAGAUGGACCUGCGUUGUAUUAGCUAGUUGGUGGGGUAACGGCUCACCAAGGCGACGAUACAUAGCCGACCUGAGAGGGUGAUCGGCCACACUGGGACUGAGACACGGCCCAGACUCCUACGGGAGGCAGCAGUAGGGAAUCUUCGGCAAUGGACGGAAGUCUGACCGAGCAACGCCGCGUGAGUGAAGAAGGUUUUCGGAUCGUAAAGCUCUGUUGUAAGAGAAGAACGAGUGUGAGAGUGGAAAGUUCACAAUGUGACGGUAUCUUACCAGAAAGGGACGGCUAACUACGUG
RNAcentral lists this ribosomal RNA (495 nucleotides) under uncultured bacterium. Its description in RNAcentral is "partial 16S ribosomal RNA". It matches the Rfam family "Bacterial small subunit ribosomal RNA", at positions 28 to 507 of the family's 1533-position model. The record is from RNAcentral.